This 502-nucleotide ribosomal RNA is filed under the name uncultured bacterium. RNAcentral's name for it is "bacterial SSU rRNA". It matches the Rfam family "Bacterial small subunit ribosomal RNA", at positions 791 to 1280 of the family's 1533-position model. The record is from RNAcentral.
UAGUCCACGCCGUAAACGAUGUGCACUAGGUCGAGGUGGGUCUGACCCCUUCUCGGCCGAAGCGAAAGUGUUAAGUGCACCGCCUGGGGAGUACGGUCGCAAGGCUAAAACUCAAAGGAAUUGACGGGGCUCACACAAGCGGUGGAGCAUGUGGCUUAAUUCGAAGCAACGCGAAGAACCUUAUCCUGGGUUUGACAUGUAUGGAUUAACCCCGUGAAAGCGGGGCCACGCCUUUUAGGUGGAACAUACACAGGUGCUGCAUGGCUGUCGUCAGCUCGUGCUGUGAAGUGUCGGGUUAAGUCCCUUAACGAGCGCAACCCUUAUCGCUAGUUGCCAGCGCGUCAUGGCGGGGACUCUAGCGAGACUGCCGGUGUCAAACCGGNGGAAGGUGGGGAUGACGUCAAGUCCGCAUGGGCCUUUAGGUCCUGGGGCUACACACGUGCUACAAUGGUCGGGUACAGAGGGGCAGGCCACUACGCGAGUAGGGAGCGAAUCCUUAAAA